UACGUAGGGUGCAAGCGUUGUCCGGAAUUAUUGGGCGUAAAGAGCUCGUAGGCGGUUUGUCGCGUCUGCUGUGAAAACUCGGGGCUUAACUCCGGGCCUGCAGUGGGUACGGGCAGACUAGAGUGCGGUAGGGGAGACUGGAAUUCCUGGUGUAGCGGUGAAAUGCGUAGAUAUCAGGAGGAACACCGGCGGUGUAGACGGCUUUCUGGACCGUAGCUGACGCUGAGACACGAAAGCGUGGGGAUCAAACAGG
Molecule: ribosomal RNA, 253 nt
Filed under: uncultured bacterium
Lineage: Bacteria
Description: partial 16S ribosomal RNA
Rfam family: Bacterial small subunit ribosomal RNA
Source: RNAcentral